RNAcentral lists this ribosomal RNA (688 nucleotides) under uncultured bacterium. RNAcentral describes it as "bacterial SSU rRNA". It matches the Rfam family "Bacterial small subunit ribosomal RNA", at positions 79 to 763 of the family's 1533-position model. The record is from RNAcentral.
CUUGCUUCUCUUGAGAGCGGCGGACGGGUGAGUAAUGCCUAGGAAUCUGCCUGGUAGUGGGGGAUAACGUUCGGAAACGGACGCUAAUACCGCAUACGUCCUACGGGAGAAAGCAGGGGACCUUCGGGCCUUGCGCUAUCAGAUGAGCCUAGGUCGGAUUAGCUAGUUGGUGGGGUAAUGGCUCACCAAGGCGACGAUCCGUAACUGGUCUGAGAGGAUGAUCAGUCACACUGGAACUGAGACACGGUCCAGACUCCUACGGGAGGCAGCAGUGGGGAAUAUUGGACAAUGGGCGAAAGCCUGAUCCAGCCAUGCCGCGUGUGUGAAGAAGGUCUUCGGAUUGUAAAGCACUUUAAGUUGGGAGGAAGGGUUGUAGAUUAAUACUCUGCAAUUUUGACGUUACCGACAGAAUAAGCACCGGCUAACUCUGUGCCAGCAGCCGCGGUAAUACAGAGGGUGCAAGCGUUAAUCGGAAUUACUGGGCGUAAAGCGCGCGUAGGUGGUUUGUUAAGUUGGAUGUGAAAUCCCCGGGCUCAACCUGGGAACUGCAUUCAAAACUGACUGACUAGAGUAUGGUAGAGGGUGGUGGAAUUUCCUGUGUAGCGGUGAAAUGCGUAGAUAUAGGAAGGAACACCAGUGGCGAAGGCGACCACCUGGACUAAUACUGACACUGAGGUGCGAAAGCGUG